GGAAAAGACGUAUUCUUCUUGAGCGAUAAACUUUUAUUUGAUUUAUUUAGAAUCCACCAACGUGUCCACUGUGCGGAAACAGCGCAAUAAUUUCCAGCAUUCGAGCCACAGAAUUCGUUUUGGCAUCGUUGGAUAGAGAAUUGAAAACUCGAUUCAGUCGUAACAAGAAAGUGAACCAUGGAUGGGAAAAUGUUGGCCCCUAAGACACCCCCCCUUGGAUCCGCCCGUGAAUGUCCUUCGCUUGGAACUCCGGCGAAUCUGUGCCAAAAAAUGGUUUCAGAUAAUUUUUGAUGCGAAAAACAACCUGUUAGCUGUCGUCGGCCAAUGAGAAACACGCAUUAGGAUUAAAUAAA
This is a long non-coding RNA of Dendroctonus ponderosae (mountain pine beetle), 353 nucleotides long. RefSeq lists it as uncharacterized. The record is from RefSeq and is a predicted model, not a curated record. NCBI's taxonomy places the organism in Eukaryota, Metazoa, Arthropoda, Insecta, Coleoptera, Curculionidae. The transcript has 2 exons.